Molecule: ribosomal RNA, 1554 nt
Filed under: Escherichia coli
Lineage: Bacteria; Pseudomonadati; Pseudomonadota; Gammaproteobacteria; Enterobacterales; Enterobacteriaceae
Description: bacterial SSU rRNA
Rfam family: Bacterial small subunit ribosomal RNA
Source: RNAcentral
AAAUUGAAGAGUUUGAUCAUGGCUCAGAUUGAACGCUGGCGGCAGGCCUAACACAUGCAAGUCGAACGGUAACAGGAAGAAGCUUGCUUCUUUGCUGACGAGUGGCGGACGGGUGAGUAAUGUCUGGGAAACUGCCUGAUGGAGGGGGAUAACUACUGGAAACGGUAGCUAAUACCGCAUAACGUCGCAAGACCAAAGAGGGGGACCUUCGGGCCUCUUGCCAUCGGAUGUGCCCAGAUGGGAUUAGCUUGUUGGUGGGGUAACGGCUCACCAAGGCGACGAUCCCUAGCUGGUCUGAGAGGAUGACCAGCCACACUGGAACUGAGACACGGUCCAGACUCCUACGGGAGGCAGCAGUGGGGAAUAUUGCACAAUGGGCGCAAGCCUGAUGCAGCCAUGCCGCGUGUAUGAAGAAGGCCUUCGGGUUGUAAAGUACUUUCAGCGGGGAGGAAGGGAGUAAAGUUAAUACCUUUACUCAUUGACGUUACCCGCAGAAGAAGCACCGGCUAACUCCGUGCCAGCAGCCGCGGUAAUACGGAGGGUGCAAGCGUUAAUCGGAAUUACUGGGCGUAAAGCGCACGCAGGCGGUUUGUUAAGUCAGAUGUGAAAUCCCCGGGCUCAACCUGGGAACUGCAUCUGAUACUGGCAAGCUUGAGUCUCGUAGAGGGGGGUAGAAUUCCAGGUGUAGCGGUGAAAUGCGUAGAGAUCUGGAGGAAUACCGGUGGCGAAGGCGGCCCCCUGGACGAAGACUGACGCUCAGGUGCGAAAGCGUGGGGAGCAAACAGGAUUAGAUACCCUGGUAGUCCACGCCGUAAACGAUGUCGACUUGGAGGUUGUGCCCUUGAGGCGUGGCUUCCGGAGCUAACGCGUUAAGUCGACCGCCUGGGGAGUACGGCCGCAAGGUUAAAACUCAAAUGAAUUGACGGGGGCCCGCACAAGCGGUGGAGCAUGUGGUUUAAUUCGAUGCAACGCGAAGAACCUUACCUGGUCUUGACAUCCACAGAACCUUGUAGAGAUACGAGGGUGCCUUCGGGAACUGUGAGACAGGUGCUGCAUGGCUGUCGUCAGCUCGUGUUGUGAAAUGUUGGGUUAAGUCCCGCAACGAGCGCAACCCUUAUCCUUUGUUGCCAGCGGUCCGGCCGGGAACUCAAAGGAGACUGCCAGUGAUAAACUGGAGGAAGGUGGGGAUGACGUCAAGUCAUCAUGGCCCUUACGACCAGGGCUACACACGUGCUACAAUGGCGCAUACAAAGAGAAGCGACCUCGCGAGAGCAAGCGGACCUCAUAAAGUGCGUCGUAGUCCGGAUUGGAGUCUGCAACUCGACUCCAUGAAGUCGGAAUCGCUAGUAAUCGUGGAUCAGAAUGCCACGGUGAAUACGUUCCCGGGCCUUGUACACACCGCCCGUCACACCAUGGGAGUGGGUUGCAAAAGAAGUAGGUAGCUUAACCUUCGGGAGGGCGCUUACCACUUUGUGAUUCAUGACUGGGGUGAAGUCGUAACAAGGUAACCGUAGGGGAACCUGCGGUUGGAUCACCUCCUUACCUUAAAGAAGC